GUUCCUCGGAGCAUCCACCUGUGCAGGGCCCGCGUCCUCCCCUCCCCGCGCCAGCCUGAAGCCCCCGGGCAGCCUCGGUUUCUCCUUUUCUUCUGGAUCUCCAGGGACUGCGCGGCACCUGGGGUCCUCUGGUGGGGAAUGAAUGAGUGAAUUACUUGGAAACUGCACAACACACCCGCUGUUUUCAACAGAGUUCAGUCACCUCUUGAGGGCUCUUCUGAUUCUUAUCUUGGUAGAGCAUCUCCUCAAGGAUUUCUGCAGGUGAGUACACUGGUG
RNAcentral lists this long non-coding RNA (276 nucleotides) under Homo sapiens (human). Its description in RNAcentral is "HSALNT0177850". Lineage: Eukaryota; Metazoa; Chordata; Mammalia; Primates; Hominidae. The record is from RNAcentral.